Molecule: long non-coding RNA, 443 nt
Filed under: Urocitellus parryii (Arctic ground squirrel)
Lineage: Eukaryota; Metazoa; Chordata; Mammalia; Rodentia; Sciuridae
Description: lncRNA (ENSUPAG00010021145.1)
Source: RNAcentral
UGAGCAUGCUCGGAGAGCGGGUCUGUCGCGGGAGGAAGCGGCGCGGGCUGCGGGCGCUGCACGCCKCGCCGUUGUUGUGAUACAGCCUCCGCCACGUGACUGCGCGGGGCCCGCCUUCCCUGCGCGCGGUGCCUCCUCACGGUGACUCAGCACUUUGUGCGGGCUCGGAGCCGAAGGUCUAUCCCGGGGAGGCUGAUUUGGGGCAAAGUCUUGGUGGUUAUUCCUGCCCCUGGGCUGCGGAUGCCUCUAUCGCUGUGGUCACACUUCAGCUACGCCAGGCCUCCAGGUAUUUGGUCACAUCAGCAGAAGACUGASCACCACAAUCCUGAAAAUGGAGACUGUAGACAUUCCUUAGCCACUUGUCUUUUAUUCCAAAUUAUCUAGCUAUUCUAAAUUAUGGGACUUUGAAUAGACAAAUAAAACCCCAAAACCCAUGCUUGUCA